Molecule: long non-coding RNA, 948 nt
Organism: Pseudophryne corroboree (corroboree frog)
Lineage: Eukaryota; Metazoa; Chordata; Amphibia; Anura; Myobatrachidae
Exons: 5
Source: RefSeq, a predicted model, not a curated record
CAACCAUAGUUGCCAAUUCAGCUUAUAACAAGCGGAAUUGGGCUUGUUUUUUCUUCUGGUUGCUUAUUUUUUUGGGUGGUUGCUUGUUGCUUGUUUUUGGGCUUAUAUUUUUUUAUGCUGCUUGUUUUUGGGCUUCUUUUGUUUUUAGGUAUCACUGACACCGACUUUUAGAGAUAAUUAGUCAUUCAUCCAUAUAACACAGAUCCUCACACAGACAUACUGUAGAGUUGGCAACACUGCUAGCAACAGGUAUGCAGCACAGGGACGCCACAGAUCCUCUAUAGCACAGAAUUUCAGGAAUUUUGAAAUGGAGAAUGUUCGCUAUUUGAGGCGGGGGAGUUUAGUUGCCUCAGCCAGCUUUAAUCACAACAUCCUGGACAAAGGACAUGACUUGCAAGAUCCGACGUUGGAUGCAUCUAGGCAGAAAGCAGUGUUCCUCGACAGCCUAUAAUAGUGCAAUUGAAGUUGAAUGGCAUUCCACCUUUGAGAAGAGCAAGAUUGUCUCUACUUCAGGGGAGGACCUGGUAUCAUUUGAGGGAAGGACCAGUGUUAUACCAAUUAAGGGGGAGGGGUUCCGAUCAAUUCGGUUUGUGAUGGGGUGGUUUUCUCAACUUAAUUUAUUUAAAUAUCAUUAUUAGGCUGUUGCCGAGGUCACCUUGCAUUUCUUAAUUACUCUUAUUCUUAAUACUUUCUUAAUUUCUAUAUUAAUAAUUCAGUACAUAAAUUUGUCUGUGAUUUCUUUAAUCGCAUUACAGUUGUCCAUAUCAUUAUUUUCAGUUAGUUGUUAAGUUAGCUUUUCAUGGAAUAAUAAAAACAUUGAGUUACUUAAAAUACUAUGCAAAAGUUUUAAGCAGGUGUCGAAAGAACUGCUCCAAAGUAAGAAAUCUUUUAGAAAUACAAGUGUUAAUAAUUUAUUUUCAUCAAUUAACAAAAUGCAAAGUGACUGAA